This 253-nucleotide ribosomal RNA is filed under the name uncultured bacterium. RNAcentral's name for it is "partial 16S ribosomal RNA". It matches the Rfam family "Bacterial small subunit ribosomal RNA", at positions 15 to 257 of the family's 1533-position model. The record is from RNAcentral.
GAUCCUGGGCUCAGGAUUAACGCUGGCGGCGCACAUAAGACAUGCAAGUCGAACGGACUUAAUCGAUUCUUUUAGAUUCGAAGCGGUUAGUGGCGGACUGGUGAGUAACACGUAAGGAACCUGCCUAUUAGAGGGGAAUAACAACGAGAAAUCGUUGCUAAUACCGCAUAAGCUAGUAGUACCGCAUGGUACAGCUAGAAAAGGNGAAAUCCACUAAUAGAUGGCCUUGCGUCCGAUUAGCUAGUUGGUGGGG